Molecule: unclassified non-coding RNA, 169 nt
Filed under: uncultured fungus
Lineage: Eukaryota; Fungi
Description: sequence contains ITS2
Source: RNAcentral
CACCACUCAAGCUCAGCUUGGUGUUGGGCCAUCGCCCGCCUCGCUUCGGCGAUGGGCGUGCCUGAAAAUCAGUGGCGGUGCCAUCCAGCUUCAAGCGCAGUAAGAAUCACUUCCUCGCUUUGGAAGCCUGGGCGGUCGCUAGCCAGACAACCUUAUUAUACUCUUCUAA